RNAcentral lists this ribosomal RNA (253 nucleotides) under uncultured bacterium. Its description in RNAcentral is "partial 16S ribosomal RNA". It matches the Rfam family "Bacterial small subunit ribosomal RNA", at positions 524 to 776 of the family's 1533-position model. The record is from RNAcentral.
UACGGAGGGGAUUAGCGUUGUUCGGAAUUACUGGGCGUAAAGCGCACGUAGGCGGAUUUGUAAGUCAGGGGUGAAAUCCCGGGGCUCAACCUCGGAACUGCCUUUGAUACUGCAAAUCUCGAGUCCGGAAGAGGUGAGUGGAAUUCCUAGUGUAGAGGUGAAAUUCGUAGAUAUUCGCAAGAACACCAGUGGCGAAGGCGGCUCACUGGCCCGGUACUGACGCUGAGGUGCGAAAGCGUGGGGAGCAAACAGG